Non-coding RNA from Myotis lucifugus (little brown bat), 35 nucleotides. Lineage: Eukaryota; Metazoa; Chordata; Mammalia; Chiroptera; Vespertilionidae. The record is from Rfam.
CUGUCUCUCGCUUCAGCCAUGUUUGGACGGAGCAG